Molecule: small nucleolar RNA, 139 nt
Organism: Ornithorhynchus anatinus (platypus)
Lineage: Eukaryota; Metazoa; Chordata; Mammalia; Monotremata; Ornithorhynchidae
Source: RefSeq, a predicted model, not a curated record
CCCCUCUCAGGGUCGCACCUGGAGAGUUUCCAUUUUGCUACCAGUUCCGACUAGGGGAGGGAGAGUCAAGCAGAGGCAUACCCAUUCCAUUCCUAGCUUGGGGCAGUGGCUAGCAAGUGGAAGGCAAUCUGCUACAAGG